Long non-coding RNA from Lepisosteus oculatus (spotted gar), 693 nucleotides. RefSeq lists it as uncharacterized. NCBI's taxonomy places the organism in Eukaryota, Metazoa, Chordata, Actinopteri, Semionotiformes, Lepisosteidae. The record is from RefSeq and is a predicted model, not a curated record.
AGGUUUAUUCCAUGCUGAAAAAAAGAAGAAAGAGAACACAACGUUUCGUGUAGUAGAGCCGAAGGUAACGGGAAGCCCAGCUGAGUGCAGGGGUUCCAGGAAAUCAAAACUGAAGCAAGGAAGGGAGAGGGAGAACUAAAAGGAGUUUGACAGGAAUCCAUCCAUCCAGUGGAAUAGAGAAGUGAAGAGUUCUUCCACAGAAGGAGAAGAACUAAGGAUCUUUUGCUUACUAAUACCUCUGUGAUGGACUGGCUUUUUAGGACCGAGCAGACUGAGUGAUAGACAUGUUGCCUCUGUGACAUGUUGACUCAGAGCUUCAUGUUCAUGCUAUUCAUGCCUGCUAUUAAAGGAACUGCAUCAACAUAGGAAACAGUUAACCCUCCAUUUAACCUUUAAAUUAUGUCAGACAGCUCAACAAACUAUCACUAUCCUCUGGGCCCAAAAGAGGCCACCCCACUGUGAAAGGAGCUGUAGUAUAAUUCCAGUCUAUCACUGCAGAAAGAUACCUGAUGUGUGUUAGACUACAUGCAAAUAUUGUAAAGCGUCAAACUGUCAAUGGUUUUAUAGUCUGAGUCACCUAGUACAAAUGUGGGUUGGGCUACAACUAUCAUCUUAUCAAGACAUAUUUUCUUAAUGUUAUUGUCUCCAUUUUGUUAUACGAUCUUAAUAAAAGGACAUUUAAACUUUCCUCUA